This is a long non-coding RNA of Numida meleagris (helmeted guineafowl), 4262 nucleotides long. RefSeq lists it as uncharacterized. Lineage: Eukaryota; Metazoa; Chordata; Aves; Galliformes; Numididae. The transcript has 3 exons. The record is from RefSeq and is a predicted model, not a curated record.
GAGAUCCCUGCCUUCCUGAGGUCUUCUAAAGGCAUCUCUCAGUGAGUCCAUCAGACAAUUGUGCUCCAUCUUGGCUGCAGUUUUUCCAAAAAGCGCACCUCAAGAGAGUACACAAAAGCUAAAGGAGGUGGAAAUUUCCUGUGGGUAAAGGGAAACCUCAGAGUUAGAAAAGGCAGAUGAGAGCAGUGGAGAAAGCAUUGAUCAGCCUCUUUGCCUAAAUGGUGCUGUAAAUUUGCCCUGUUUAACACAAGUUGGUUGUGACUGCUGGGCUGAAAUGCCUCUGCAGGAUCAGAUUAAGCUCCGGAGGACCUCAUAAAUUAACUACAGCAGCCUAAGACAUCCUUUAUUUUGUGCUGAAUGCCCAAAGCAUCAUCUUCUCUGAGGACAAAAUAGUGGACAAGGAUGAUGAAGACACAUAUCAGUGGCAGACACAUGGUACCAAUGAAAUACUGUCAAAAGGUGAGACGGAAGAGCCAGGGCAGACAUAAAAGAUAACUGCUGCUUCCCUAAUGGUCUGGUAGGCUUUCACGCUUUUCUGGUCAAAGUCAAAAAUACCUCCUUAAAGGACAGGACAACAGAGAAAGUAACUCAGUUUUGCGAAGCAAGGACACAACAAGCAGAACUACACUGGCAGAAGCCAGCUCACACAUGUGCAAAUCAGCACAAUCCAUUGCCUCCUGUUCAGCUCUGCCUAGCUCAGCACCCAUGGCCCUGACCCAUGGCUUGGCAGACUCCCUCACAGGACUCCUGCUGUCCUUGGUGUGAGGUGUACAGGGCCCUAUUUCACCAUUUGACACUGAUAAAGCCAAUCCCUAUUUUUUUUUUUUUGCAGCCUUUGAAGUCCCCACCACUUUGGUUAGGGCCUGCAAAGAGAAGCAUGCAGGCUGACAGAGCAGUCUCUGAACCAAAUGAUUUAUUUGGAAGCAAAUUUAGCUGUUCCAAAACAUGGAAUUGUGAUGAACUGAGAAACCUGGCAGACAGCAUUUCUUAUGUUAAGGGUGUGGGUGAUUUUGCCUUGGAAAGAUAAUGGCAGGUUCAUUAGGCAGAAAGUUCACAUGCACCCAAGGACAGAUAGCGUUAUGGCUAAAGGUUAUCAUGCAGUUAAUUUGCGUAAGUAGGCAAUCUGUCUGAUCCUAAUUGGGGGGCAGAUGUGCAAAAUGGUGGUGGUGAUUUUUUUCUUUUUCAUUUCAAAAUGUUCAAUUUUGGAGUCUAGUUUAUCAUUUAUUUAGGAUUGAAAAAUCACUAAGGCAAGACUUCAAACUUAACUUGCUUUGAAAAGGUUGAAAUGAGGCAUUCUGGAAGCAUGACAUUCUUGGGGAGAGGAAACAGAAGUUUGAUGUGGGGGUGUGGGGGGGAAAAAAAAAACAACUAACAAAAGCAGUUCAACUUCAGCAAAAUGGGAUUUUCUACUGCAAAUCUCCCAGCCUGCCUUCAAGGCUGACUGUGCCCCAGAGAUUCACAGCCCCUUUUCCAAGGGAGUCGCUUUGUGAUUGCAGUGGGGAGCUGGAGCAUUCUGGCAGCUUGGACAUGCACUGCAAGACUUUGGUUCUUAUACUGCUGCUGUUAAACAAAUGAAACCAACCUAAACAAAUCCAAUCCAACCCAUACCAACUAAAACCAAAACAACAACAAACACACAAAAGAACCCAAACACCAUGACUUUUACUAGCUCAUUAGGGCAGGAAGCUACACUUUUUGGGGUACCCAAAGGGAACUCCAGGGGAUGGUCAAAGGGAGAAGUUCUGCAACAAAUUUGUUAAGACAUUGCUGAGCAUUGAUGAUUGCCUACAGAGCCAGAGCAACAGAAACGUAUGGUUUCACCCUUUGAUCCCUUAAACAAUUCUGUAUGAAGUUUUAACAGCAUGUUUCCUGAAAUACUGAAGAAAGCAGAGCCAUGGCCUAAAAAAAAAUCUUGUAGUCAAAAAGGAGAAUUGAGCUCUGGGAGGGUGAGAGUGUGGAAGCUGGGGGCCAUCAGCUGCCUGGGGCAGUGGGGUGAUGUGGGACAUGUCCCAGAGCAGGGCUGGAGCUGUCACAUCUUGUCUGACUGUCCUGGAGGGCAAGGCAGUGCCUGGGAAGCUACUCCAACCAAUGAGCUCCCCUUGGGCCCUAUCAUGGCCAGGCAGGGCCUUCCUCAGAGACCACAUGCAGGGUGCCAGGGUCAAGGAGCAGGAAAAGCUUCUUUUCAUCUUUCUCCCUACUUUAACAAUGCCUUAAGGUGAUGACAAUAAUACCUGGUGGCAGUUUUAGUCACACAGCAGUUUUCUUGGAAGAUGUCUCAGCAGCACAAAUGAGAAGUCAGUAUCAUUUUCCAAAGUGCAAAUCUUUCAAUUUCGAAGACUGCUCUCAAGGAGCAACUGGAAACAUCCAGCCGAAAACUGGCUUCCAGCUGGAAAGGGCCAUAAUGACUAUCAAGGUGGCAGCGAUUCCUCAACCCAAACUGCACCUCUGCUCUCGCUUUGAACCCACCAUCCGAGGCAGGAGCAGGACAACGGAGCGGGUGGAAGAGGGGCUGGGACCGCCCUGUGCUGAGCCUCCGGGGAGCAGAGCCGCGGCCAUGGUGCAGAUGGCAGCGCCAUUUUCAGAGCUAUAAACAGCGUCAUUGUCAUAGCUCUUUGAAUGGUACUGCCAUAUGUACCGGAAAAACAGCAUCUAUGCUUGGGAGGGCUUGGGGCCAGCUGGAUUUUCUCCCCAUUUGGAUGAAGCCGAUUCCUGAAGUAUGAAUGAAAGCUGCAUGCUGCCUGGGAGUAAUUCCCCCUCGACGCUUGUUUUUGAGUCUCUGAAGAUCAUCGCGUUCUGCUCUGUCUUCUAUCAGCAAAACUAAGCGUCCUGCACAUGGAAGGGUUGCUGAUGCAUCUAAACCACCCUGCUCAGUUCAAGAAGCACCUGAACGUUCAUGGAAAUUUGGAUAGAAGAUUAGACCACCUCUGUGUGCUGCAAAGAGCAUUUGACUGUGUCUAUAUGGGGCAGGUAGAAAACAGUUGUUUUACGUGCCCUGGUGCAUUACCUGCUAUGCUCUUCCAGUUGUGUUGCUGAGGGAACAGCUGCUGCAGCAAAGGGAGAAGAGCAAGGCAGAAAGCUGCACAGAUAGGAACUGUGCUGCAGGAAUCAGACCCCGAUCUGCAGGGCUGGGGUGCAGCGGGGGGGCUCUCAGGGACAUGCUUCUGGAGCAAGAGCAGCCUGUGACCUUGGCUGGGUGGUGGCCAGGCCUUUGGCUGAUGGAAGCCAGAUAUCUCUGUUUAAUAUUUACCUGAUUUCUGCUUUGUAAGAACCUACAGAGAUCUGGGAGUCACAGAGCCGUGCAAUGUGUUUCUGAUUCUGUGUGGUAUCAGCAAUAGAUUACGAUGGCUGAUGAGUCCAGGCGCUUGUGAUAAACGCACAGCUUAAUUACCCACCCGUUUAGAGACAUAUUCUAGGAACUAAUUAAUUCUUUCAGUUUCUGCAUUAAACCAUUGCAUAAAACAUCCCUUCAAACAGAACAUUAUAUGUUAUGCUACUGUAAUUAAAUAAAGAGUUAACGGAGCUUGAGAGAUGCCCACAGCACUUAAUGAGGAUUAAUUAAGCAACAUGAUUUACAGCUGGAGAAGAUGAAACUGAGCAUUUCCAAGCUGGCAAGGCGAAGCAGCUGUGGCUGCUGAAUUCAUGGAGGCACACAUGGGGAAUGUGCCUCUGCAGGAGCUCUGCUACAGCAGCCUUGCUGGCUACGUUUGUCUAUCGUAGACUCAUUAAGAUUGGAAGAAACCAGUAAGAUCAUCAGGUCCAACAGUCAAGCUAUCACCACCAUGCCACUAAGCCACAUCCUUCUGUGCCACAUCCACCGUUUGCUGGAAGUCUCCUGCAGCAGUGACUCAUUUAGCAAGGUUGCAUUCAACCCCUGCAGCACACCCCUUGUUUGGCUGAACGCAUACCUCCCUAUUUGCCUGCUAGGAGUUCAGACCUUGGCAGCUGGAGACUUAAAGGGCAGAUAAAGCACAGCCAAAAUUUCUACCAGGUUUCCUUUACAAGCCCUCCCUGUGACAGCCGCUAAAUUAGCCUGUUCUUAAUUUCUCUGAUCUUUUCCUCUGAUAGCAACACAGUUUAUCUGUGUAACAGCAUUAUUACACUCCAGGCACGCCAGCUGUAGGAAAUGGCUGGCUGAUAUUGGUUGUCUUUGUCCUGUUCAGAACAAACAGUUCAAGUGGUCAGCAUCAUCAGUUCUCACUUCAGGAGAGAAAUCUUACGUUGUCUCUCCCAGAAACAAAAAGAAAGAAACUCAGUUGUUCUAG